This 585-nucleotide ribosomal RNA is filed under the name uncultured bacterium. Its description in RNAcentral is "partial 16S ribosomal RNA". It matches the Rfam family "Bacterial small subunit ribosomal RNA", at positions 355 to 1375 of the family's 1533-position model. The record is from RNAcentral.
UGGGGAAUUUUGGACAAUGGGCGAAAGCCUGAUCCAGCAAUGCCGCGUGUGUGAAGAAGGCCUUCGGGUUGUAAAGCACUUUUGUCCGGAAAGAAAUCCUUGGCUCUAAUACAGUCGGGGGAUGACGGUACCGGAAGAAUAAGCACCGGCUAACUACGUGCCAGCAGCCGCGGUAAUACGUAGGGUGCAAGCGUUAAUCGGAAUUACUGGGCGUAAAGCGUGCGCAGGCGGUUUGCUAAGACCGAUGUGAAAUCCCCGGGCUCAACCUGGGAGCUGCAUUGGUGACUGGCAGGCUAGAGUAUGGCAGAGGGGGGUAGAAUUCCACGUGUAGCAGUGAAAUGCGUAGAGAUGUGGAGGAAUACCGAUGGCGAAGGCAGCCCCCUGGGCCAAUACUGACGCUCAUGCACGAAAGCGUGGGGAGCAAACAGGAUUAGAUACCCUGGUAGUCCACGCCCUAAACGAUGUCAACUAGUUGUUGGGGAUUCAUUUCCUUAGUAACGUAGCUAACGCGUGAAGUUGACCGCCUGGGGAGUACGGUCGCAAGAUUAAAACUUAAAUGAAUUGACGGGGUCAUAGCUGUUUCCU